This 497-nucleotide ribosomal RNA is filed under the name uncultured bacterium. Its description in RNAcentral is "partial 16S ribosomal RNA". It matches the Rfam family "Bacterial small subunit ribosomal RNA", at positions 28 to 507 of the family's 1533-position model. The record is from RNAcentral.
GAUGAACGCUGGCGGUGUGCCUAAUACAUGCGAGUCGAGCGAACAGACGAGGAGCUUACUCCUCUGACGUUAGCGGCGGACGGGUGAGUAACACGUGGAUAACCUACCAAUAAGACUGGGAUAACUUCGGGAAACCGGAGCUAAUACCGGAUAACAUGUUGAACCGCAUGGUUCAACAGUGAAAGACGGUCUUGCUGUCACUUAUAGAUGGAUCCGCGUCGCAUUAGCUAGUUGGUAAGGUAACGGCUUACCAAGGCAACGAUGCGUAGCCGACCUGAGAGGGUGAUCGGCCACACUGGAACUGAGACACGGUCCAGACUCCUACGGGAGGCAGCAGUAGGGAAUCUUCCGCAAUGGGCGAAAGCCUGACGGAGCAACGCCGCGUGAGUGAAGAAGGUCUUCGGAUCGUAAAACUCUGUUAUUAGGGAAGAACAAAUGUGUAAGUAACUAUGCACGUCUUGACGGUACCUAAUCAGAAAGCCACGGCUAACUACGUG